RNAcentral lists this ribosomal RNA (448 nucleotides) under Gallus gallus murghi. RNAcentral's name for it is "partial 12S ribosomal RNA". It matches the Rfam family "Bacterial small subunit ribosomal RNA", at positions 767 to 1406 of the family's 1533-position model. The record is from RNAcentral. Lineage: Eukaryota; Metazoa; Chordata; Aves; Galliformes; Phasianidae.
UCAAACUGGGAUUAGAUACCCCACUAUCCCUAGCCCUAAAUCUAGAUACCUCCCAUCACACAUGUAUCCGCCUGAGAACUACGAGCACAAACGCUUAAAACUCUAAGGACUUGGCGGUGCCCCAAACCCACCUAGAGGAGCCUGUUCUAUAAUCGAUAAUCCACGAUUCACCCAACCACCCCUUGCCAGCACAGCCUACAUACCGCCGUCGCCAGCCCACCUCUAAUGAAAGAACAACAGUGAGCUCAAUAGCCCCUCGCUAAUAAGACAGGUCAAGGUAUAGCCUAUGGGGUGGGAGAAAUGGGCUACAUUUUCUAACAUAGAACAAACGAAAAAGGACGUGAAACCCGCCCUUAGAAGGAGGAUUUACGCAGUAAAGUGAGAUCAUACCCCCUAAGCUCACUUUAAGACGGCUCUGAGGCACGUACACACCGCCCGUCACCCUCAA